UUGAUCCUGGCUCAGAAUCAACGCUGGCGGCGUGCCUAACACAUGCAAGUCGAACGAGAAAGUGGAGCAAUCCAUGAGUAAAGUGGCGACCGGGUGAGUUACACGUGACCAAUCUACCCUUGAGUGGAGGAUAACCUCGGGAAACCGGGUCUAAUACCGCAUAACAUCCUCGGAUCGGAAGAACUGGGGAUCAAAGGAGUAAUUCGCUUAAGGAGGAGGUCGCGGCUGAUUAGCUAGUUGGCGGGGUAAUGGCCCACCAAGGCAAAGAUCGGUAGCCGGCCUGAGAGGGCGCACGGCCAUACUGGAACUGAAACACGGUCCAGACUCCUACGGGAGGCAGCAGUGGGGAUUUUUGCGCAAUGGGGGAAACCCUGACGCAGCAACGCCGCGUGGAGGAUGUAGUCCCUUGGGACGUAAACUCCUUUCGACCCGGACGAUAAUGACGGUACUGGUGGAAGAAGCCCCGGCUAACUUCGUGCCAGCAGCCGCGGUAAUAAGGU
Molecule: ribosomal RNA, 500 nt
Filed under: uncultured Acidobacteriota bacterium
Lineage: Bacteria; Pseudomonadati; Acidobacteriota
Description: bacterial SSU rRNA
Rfam family: Bacterial small subunit ribosomal RNA
Source: RNAcentral